ACUGAAGGAGGAGGAGGAGGAAGAGCAUGUGUCUGUCAUCCUGUGCUGGGAAUUGUGGGAACCGCAGGGAGCAUGACAGACACAUGCUCCUCCUCCUCCUCCUCC
Molecule: non-coding RNA, 105 nt
Organism: Pelobates cultripes (western spadefoot toad)
Lineage: Eukaryota; Metazoa; Chordata; Amphibia; Anura; Pelobatidae
Source: the annotation of a GenBank genome assembly